Molecule: non-coding RNA, 22 nt
Filed under: Papio hamadryas (hamadryas baboon)
Lineage: Eukaryota; Metazoa; Chordata; Mammalia; Primates; Cercopithecidae
Also listed under: 4 other names
Gene: pha-miR-877
Source: miRBase by way of RNAcentral
GUAGAGGAGAUGGCGCAGGGGA